RNAcentral lists this long non-coding RNA (210 nucleotides) under Capsicum annuum. Its description in RNAcentral is "long non-coding RNA (CANN_LNC022426)". The record is from RNAcentral. Lineage: Eukaryota; Viridiplantae; Streptophyta; Magnoliopsida; Solanales; Solanaceae.
CCAAAUCGAUCAAUCCCUACUAUCUACCAAUUCAUCUAUCACAAUUAGCACCAUCGCUAACUACUACUAACACAUCACAACCUCCACACAUUCUACGGUGGCCACCACCAUUGUCACUAGUAACGCCACCUCUACCAUCACUUCUGUCACUAUCAUCGCUAUAAUUUAUCUCUAUUAACAACCAUCUUCACCAUCACAACUAACAACAUC